Eriocheir sinensis (Chinese mitten crab) is the source of this 1295-nucleotide long non-coding RNA. RefSeq lists it as uncharacterized. The transcript is spliced from 3 exons. The record is from RefSeq and is a predicted model, not a curated record. Lineage: Eukaryota; Metazoa; Arthropoda; Malacostraca; Decapoda; Varunidae.
CGCACACACACACACACACACACACACACGCUCACACAUCUGGUCUUACGAGAUAAAAUCGCGGAAAAAAUGGAUCGAUGACAUCUCCAUGUAUCUGAGGCCACGCCUAUUGAAGUCUUAAUGAUUCAAGUCAUUACAAUAAACCUCAGGUUAUUAAGGACUGACCCGAGGAACACACAUGCUUGCGCGCACACGCACAUGCAUACACAUACACACACACACACACACACACACACACACACACACACACACACACACACACACACACACACACACACACACACACACACACACACACACACACACACACACACACACACACACACACACACACACACACACACACACACACACACACACACACACACACACACACACACAUCUGUUCAUGUGAGAUAAAAAUCACGGAAAAAAAAUGUUUCGAUGACAUCUCCAUGUAUCUGAGGCCACGCCUUCUGGUCUUCGGAAGCCUUAAUGAUUCAAGUCAUUACAAUAAACCUCGGGUCAUUAAGGACUGACCUGAGGAACACACACACACACACACACACACACACACACACACACACACACACACACACACACACACAUGUACAAACGAACACACAAUGUCGAGGGGUAUUUAUGGACGUCAAGCCAACAAGCACUUCACAGGCUCUCAAGGUGGUCUCGGGUCAAGAGGUCUCCUGUUCUUGUUUCCCGUAAACAUGAGGACCCCUGUACACCCCUGUAUCAAAUGUUCAUGGUGUAAUAAUUACUUCCCGUUGUCCGCACUCGUAGCUCAUAGGGCGGCCUGCCUUCCAGAGGGCCUUGGGACUGGAUCGAAAGAUAUAUCUACUAGAAACAAUGGUAAGUACUUAAAUGUUUGCGUUACUUUAUAUGAUUGUCAUAAAAAACAGUAGCAGAUGUGGAUGACGGGAGGGAGGUAGAGAGCUGGGCAGCAUGGGCAAUAUCGACUUUAGUCUUUCUAUCUUUUUUCAGAAGAGACGUCGUCGACUAGCUCUGAUCGAUCAGAUGUCGGUUUCUCUCAACCAGACCCCAGCGAUAUUGGAAGUUGUUCUCCACGGGCGGGUCUCAGCGACGAAGCCAGUCAAAACCAAAGGACUAUCUCCGAAGAAGGCGGGUCUGGUAGGCUCAGCCAUUGGCCCUCCUCUUCAACGAUCGGUAGUGGACGAAAACGAAAACAAGCGAAUACAGGAACAAACGACACCUGCAGGAAAAAGCAAGCCCGUCGUGAGGGAUUCUCCCAUCCAAACAGUUCUCCACAGCCAGGACCCAGCGGUUAUAACCCGGGACGG